Molecule: ribosomal RNA, 406 nt
Filed under: Verrucomicrobiota bacterium
Lineage: Bacteria; Pseudomonadati; Verrucomicrobiota
Description: Verrucomicrobia bacterium partial 16S ribosomal RNA
Rfam family: Bacterial small subunit ribosomal RNA
Source: RNAcentral
UGGGGAAUAUUGGACAAUGGAGGAAACUCUGAUCCAGCAAUUCUGUGUGUGUGAAGAAGGUUUUAGGACUGUAAAACACUUUUAGUAGGGAAGAAAAAAAUGACGGUACCUACAGAAGAAGCAACGGCUAAAUACGUGCCAGCAGCCGCGGUAAUACGUAUGUUGCGAGCGUUAUCCGGAAUUAUUGGGCUUAAAGGGCAUCUAGGCGGUAAGACAAGUUGAAGGUGAAAACCUGUGGCUCAACCAUAGGCUUGCCUACAAAACUGUGAACUAGAGUACUGGAAAGGUGGGUGGAACUACACGAGUAGAGGUGAAAUUCGUAGAUAUGUGUAGGAAUGCCGAUGAUGAAGAUAACUCACUGGACAGAAACUGACGCUGAAGUGCGAAAGCUAGGGGAGCAAACAGG